UGGGGAAUAUUGGACAAUGGGCGCAAGCCUGAUCCAGCAAUGCCGCGUGUGUGAAGAAGGCCUUCGGGUUGUAAAGCACUUUUAUCAGGAGCGAAACGCUGUCGGCUAAUACCCGGCGGAACUGACGGUACCUGAGGAAUAAGCACCGGCUAACUUCGUGCCAGCAGCCGCGGUAAUACGAAGGGUGCAAGCGUUAAUCGGAAUUACUGGGCGUAAAGCGUGCGUAGGCGGUUUCUUAAGUCUGCUGUGAAAUCCCCGGGCUCAACCUGGGAAUGGCAGUGGAUACUGGGAGGCUAGAGUGUGUCAGAGGGUGGUGGAAUUCCCGGUGUAGCGGUGAAAUGCGUAGAGAUCGGGAGGAACAUCAGUGGCGAAGGCGGCCACCUGGGACAACACUGACGCUGAGGCACGAAAGCGUGGGGAGCAAACAUGAUUAGAUACCCUGGUAGUCCACGCCUAAACGAUGCGAACUGGAUGUUGGUCUCAACUCGGAGAUCAGUGUCGAAGCUAACGCGUUAAGUUCGCCGCCUGGGGAGUACGGUCGCAAGACUGGAAACUCAAAUGAAUUGACGGGGUCAUAGCUGUUUCC
RNAcentral lists this ribosomal RNA (586 nucleotides) under uncultured bacterium. Its description in RNAcentral is "partial 16S ribosomal RNA". It matches the Rfam family "Bacterial small subunit ribosomal RNA", at positions 355 to 937 of the family's 1533-position model. The record is from RNAcentral.